RNAcentral lists this ribosomal RNA (465 nucleotides) under uncultured Klebsiella sp. RNAcentral describes it as "bacterial SSU rRNA". It matches the Rfam family "Bacterial small subunit ribosomal RNA", at positions 338 to 795 of the family's 1533-position model. The record is from RNAcentral. Lineage: Bacteria; Pseudomonadati; Pseudomonadota; Gammaproteobacteria; Enterobacterales; Enterobacteriaceae.
CCUACGGGUGGCAGCAGUGGGGAAUAUUGCACAAUGGGCGCAAGCCUGAUGCAGCCAUGCCGCGUGUGUGAAGAAGGCCUUCGGGUCGUAAAGCACUUUCAGCGGGGAGGAAGGCGUUAAGGUUAAUAACCUUGUCGAUUGACGUUACCCGCAGAAGAAGCACCGGCUAACUCCGUGCCAGCAGCCGCGGUAAUACGGAGGGUGCAAGCGUUAAUCGGAAUUACUGGGCGUAAAGCGCACGCAGGCGGUCUGUCAAGUCGGAUGUGAAAUCUCUGGGCUCAACCUGGGAACUGCAUUCGAAACUGGCAGGCUAGAGUCUUGUAGAGGGGGGUAGAAUUCCAGGUGUAGCGGUGAAAUGCGUAGAGAUCUGGAGGAAUACCGGUGGCGAAGGCGGCCCCCUGGACAAAGACUGACGCUCAGGUGCGAAAGCGUGGGGAGCAAACAGGAUUAGAUACCCGGGUAGUC